Molecule: transfer RNA, 72 nt
Filed under: Candidatus Parcubacteria bacterium
Lineage: Bacteria; Candidatus Parcubacteria
Description: tRNA-Thr
Rfam family: tRNA
About the family: Transfer RNA (tRNA) molecules are approximately 80 nucleotides in length. Their secondary structure includes four short double-helical elements and three loops (D, anti-codon, and T loops).
Source: RNAcentral
GCCGGGAUAGCUCAACGGUAGAGCAAUCGCUUCGUAAGCGAGAGGUUGGGGGUUCGAAUCCUCUUCCCGGCU